Molecule: long non-coding RNA, 886 nt
Filed under: Marmota monax (woodchuck)
Lineage: Eukaryota; Metazoa; Chordata; Mammalia; Rodentia; Sciuridae
Source: RNAcentral
UGAGCACCUGUGGCUGAGCAUGUGGUUCCCGUCUCCUCUGUUCACUGCCGAGGGUGGGCUGCAUUCUGCAUCCACGCAUGUGAGAUGCAACACGCCCAUGUCUCUCUACCUGUUUUUCUUGCUAUAAGUCCGUGCGUGUGCGUGCUCCCUAGCAGGGGAGAGGAGGUCAGAGCAAGAGGGUGAGCAAGAAAAGGGACUGAGAGAAAAGUGCGAGCUUUGUUUUCCUGUAACCUGAGUUUGGAUUUGGGUUUCAUGUGUUCAAUAAAUGUUGGGCGGAACCAAAUGAAAUCACUGAUACUCGGCUCUUGACCUGUAAAGAUGUCGAUUUCCCAGGAUUCCUUCUCAACCGUUGUUAACUAUGCUUUCUUCUGAAGCCAUCCUGGCCCAUCCCUUCCCCCCAGACCCACAGGUGGGCGACUCUUCAUGUUGCUCCUUAGUGUUGAAGGGCGUGGGUCCUCCUGGGUCCCUGCAUCAGGGGGCUCACCUGCUCGGUGGUUGUUGGGGGUGGAGGAUCUCUGGUUCUGGGUUCCUGUGAGAGCAAACAGGUGUUUUCAGUCUGUGCGUCACUGGUUGUGGGCGAGUGCGCGUAGGGGUGUGUGAGCUCAUUUAUGUUUGAGUUGCCAGACACACAAGUUGUGGACCCCAUCUUCCUUGGCACUACGUGGCACAAAGCAGGCCACCCCCAGGAAUUCAGGAGAUGGCAGGUUUGAGGCAAAAGGUCAGAGAAGGAGGGCUGUAGAAGAAAAAAUAACUGCUACAGAGCAAUUAAAACCUGUAUCUCAAGCCGGAUGGCAUGUGCCUGUAGUCCCAGCCACUCAGGAGGCUGAGGUGGGAGGAUCACUUGAGCCAGGAGUUCCAGGCCAACAUGGGACAGAGCCAGCCCUGU